GACGAACGCUGGCGGCGUGCUUAACACAUGCAAGUCGAACGGUGAAGCGCCUUCCUUUUUGGUGGGUGUGGAUGAGUGGCGAACGGGUGAGUAACACGUGAGUAACCUGCCCCCUUCUUCUGGAUAACCGCAUGAAAGUGUGGCUAAUACGGGAUAUUCUGGGUCUGUCGCAUGAUGGGUCUGGGAAAGAUAUUGUUUCGGUGGGGGAUGGGCUCGCGGCCUAUCAGCUUGUUGGUGGGGUGAUGGCCUACCAAGGCGGUGACGGGUAGCCGGCCUGAGAGGGUGGACGGUCACAAUGGGAAUGAGACACGGCCCAGACUCCUACGGGAGGCAGCAGUGGGGAAUAUUGCACAAUGGGCGGAAGCCUGAUGCAGCGACGCCGCGUGAGGGAUGGAGGCCGUCGGGUUGUGAACCUCUUUCGCCAGUGAAGCAGGCCUGCCUCGUUUGUGGGUGGGUUGACGGUAGCUGGAUAAGAAGCGCCGGCUAACUACGUG
Molecule: ribosomal RNA, 494 nt
Filed under: uncultured bacterium
Lineage: Bacteria
Description: partial 16S ribosomal RNA
Rfam family: Bacterial small subunit ribosomal RNA
Source: RNAcentral